ACGUUCGGGUAAUCGCUGCAAGAGCUAUUAGCGAAUUGUAGAGGAAAGUCCAUGCUCGCACGGUCUGAGAUGUCCGUAGUGUUCGUGCCUAGUGAAUUCAUAAGCUAGGGCAGUUGGGGAGAAUCUCAACUGACGGCUGGGAAAAUACCUAAGUCUCUAUUGGGAUAUGGUAUGAGUACCUUUAAAAGUGCCACAGUGACGAUGCCUUUCUAGAAAUGGAAAGGGUGGAACGGGUAAACCCCACGAGCGAGAAACCCAAAUUAUGGUAGGGGCACUUUCUCUGAGGAAAUCAACAAGGAGAAGGACAGAUUCCAAAUUGAAUCUGUAGAUAGAUGAUUGCCGCCUUAGUACGAGACAUGAAUGGUCGUUUGAAGUACUUUGGUACAGAACAUGGCUUAUAGAA
RNAcentral lists this RNase P RNA (403 nucleotides) under Neobacillus massiliamazoniensis. RNAcentral describes it as "Bacillus sp. LF1 Bacterial RNase P class B". It matches the Rfam family "Bacterial RNase P class B". Rfam says of the family: Ribonuclease P (RNase P) is a ubiquitous endoribonuclease, found in archaea, bacteria and eukarya as well as chloroplasts and mitochondria. The record is from Rfam by way of RNAcentral. Lineage: Bacteria; Bacillati; Bacillota; Bacilli; Caryophanales; Bacillaceae.